This 460-nucleotide ribosomal RNA is filed under the name uncultured bacterium. Its description in RNAcentral is "partial 16S ribosomal RNA". It matches the Rfam family "Bacterial small subunit ribosomal RNA", at positions 338 to 795 of the family's 1533-position model. The record is from RNAcentral.
CCUACGGGUGGCAGCAGUGAGGAAUAUUGGUCAAUGGACGAGAGUCUGAACCAGCCAAGUAGCGUGAAGGAUGACUGCCCUAUGGGUUGUAAACUUCUUUUAUAUGGGAAUAAAAUGUUCCACGUGUGGGCUUUUGUAUGUACCCUAUGAAUAAGGCUCGGCUAACUCCGUGCCAGCAGCCGCGGUAAUACGGAGGAUCCGAGCGUUAUCCGGAUUUAUUGGGUUUGAAGGGAGCGUAGGUGGGUUUGUAAGUCAGUUGUGAAAGUUUGCGGCUCAACCGUAAAAUUGCAGUUGAAACUGGCAGUCUUGAGUGCAGUAGAGGUGGGCGGAAUGCGUGGUGUAGCGGUGAAAUGCUUAGAUAUCACGAAGAACUCCGAUUGCGAAGGCAGCUCACUGGACUGCAACUGACACUGAGGCUCGAAAGUGUGGGUAUCAAACAGGAUUAGAUACCCGUGUAGUC